AGUGAGGCGCUUACUUUGCAUGAUGAGCAAAUCUCCAAUAUUGAAGAUUCACAAAUUGUAUUAUCUCCUCAUCCAAUCCCCGGUUCUAGUGAGGCACUUACUUUGCAUGAGGCAUUAUAUUUAAAUAAAAUUUAUAUAAUGACUUUUGAAGGGAAUAAAUUAUGAGGAUAUUCAAAGUCCAAGUCUUAUUCAGCUAUACAAAAAAAAGGAACCAAAUGACCCUUUUCACUUUAUAUUAUUUAGGAUGACAAAUAUUUUGAUAAAUUUCAUAAUUGCUGUAGGCCCUUGUCAGCCAUGUACAAAUAAAUUUCAAUAUCCUGUUACUAACAAGAGGAGCAUGAAUAUAACCUAUUAUAGAAAGGUUAAUAUAGAUGGUUCCCUCAACCCCAGAAAUUGGCUAUCUUAUAGCACUACUUUAGACAAAGUCUUUUGUCUAUAUUGUAUUAUGUUUGGUGGCCCUAAGUCCAAUACUUUUUGGACUCAACAUGGGGUAAAUAAUUGGAAAAACAUAAAGCGUGACUUAGAGAGACACGAAUCAUCUUCUCUUCAUAAAGAUUGUGAAUAUGCAAACAUGACUUGGCUUGCAAAUAAACGCAUUCAAGAUCAUUUGCUAUCAAAUAAGCUUGA
Gordionus sp. m RMFG-2023 is the source of this 627-nucleotide long non-coding RNA. RefSeq lists it as uncharacterized. The record is from RefSeq and is a predicted model, not a curated record. The transcript is spliced from 3 exons. Lineage: Eukaryota; Metazoa; Nematomorpha; Gordioida; Chordodea; Parachordodidae.